ACUACGGGGGGCUGCAGUGAGGAAUAUUGGUCAAUGGGCGGAAGCCUGAACCAGCCAAGUAGCGUGCAGGAUGACGGCCCUACGGGUUGUAAACUGCUUUUAUACGGGAAUAACGCGCCUUACGUGUAGGGCUUUGCAUGUACCGUAUGAAUAAGGACCGGCUAAUUCCGUGCCAGCAGCCGCGGUAAUACGGAAGGUCCGGGCGUUAUCCGGAUUUAUUGGGGUUAAAGGGAGCGUAGGCCGCAUGUCAAGCGUGCUGUGAAAUGUCCGGGCUCAACCCGGGCCUUGCAGCGCGAACUGGCGUGCUUGAGUCCGCGGAAAGCAGGCGGAAUUCGUCGUGUAGCGGUGAAAUGCUUAGAUAUGACGAAGAACCCCGAUUGCGAAGGCAGCUUGCUGCAGCGGAACUGACGCUGAUGCUCGAAAGCGCGGGUAUCGAACAGGAUUAGAUACCCUAGUAGUC
RNAcentral lists this ribosomal RNA (460 nucleotides) under uncultured bacterium. RNAcentral describes it as "partial 16S ribosomal RNA". It matches the Rfam family "Bacterial small subunit ribosomal RNA", at positions 338 to 795 of the family's 1533-position model. The record is from RNAcentral.